GCGAGAAGUCACCUUCGGGUGGCGAGUAGAGCGGCGCACGGGUGAGUAACGCGUGGGUAAUCUACCUCCGGGUCUGGGAUAACUUCGGGAAACUGGAGCUAAUACCGGCUAAGACCACGAUGUCCUCGGACAUUGCGGUAAAAGGUGGCCUCUUCAUGAAAGCUAUCGCCUGGUGAUGAGCCCGCGUCCCAUUAGUUUGUUGGUGAGGUAAAAGCUCACCAAGGCAUCGAUGGGUAGCUGAUCUGAGAGGAUGAUCAGCCACACUGGAACUGAGACACGGUCCAGACUCCUACGGGAGGCAGCAGUGGGGAAUCUUGGGCAAUGGGCGAAAGCCUGACCCAGCAACGCCGCGUGAGGGAUGAAGGCCUUCGGGUCGUAAACCUCUGUCGGGAGGGAAGAACUGCACGAGACGAAUAAUCUCGUGUUCUGACGGUACCUCCAAAGGAAGCGCCGGCUAACUCCGUGCCAGCAGCCGCGGUAAUACGGAGGGCGCAAGCGUUGUUCGGAAUCAUUGGGCGUAAAGCGAGUGUAGGUGGCUUGGAAAGUCGGGUGUGAAAUCCCAGGGCUCAACCCUGGAACUGCACUCGAAACUGCCGAGCUAGAGUCCCGGAGAGGAUGGCGGAAUUCCCGGUGUAGAGGUGAAAUUCGUAGAUAUCGGGAGGAACACCAGCGGCGAAGGCGGCCAUCUGGACGGUGACUGACACUGAGACUCGAAAGCGUGGGUAGCGAACAGGAUUAGAUAC
Molecule: ribosomal RNA, 743 nt
Filed under: uncultured deep-sea bacterium
Lineage: Bacteria
Description: bacterial SSU rRNA
Rfam family: Bacterial small subunit ribosomal RNA
Source: RNAcentral